GUAAUCUCCACAAAAAUGAAGGUUCUACCACCAGAAGUCGAGGAAAUCCUCGCGAAAUUCCGUUUAAACCGUGAACAACUUCAAGAAAUCAGCGAAAAAGUGGAGCAACAAAUGAAAAUGGGUCUCGCAAAGACUCAAGGCUCAUCGAUUGCAAUGUUGCCGAGUUAUGUACCAGCGUUGCCAGAUGGAACAGGUAAAAAUGCAGAAAAAUGGAAAUUUAAUGAAAAAAUCUAAAAAAAAAACAUAAAAAAUCGUCGAUUUUAGCCAAUUUCGAAAAAUCCCAAAAAACAAAACUGAUAAAAUUAAUCAAACAUUUCUGAAAAUCGAGAAAAAAACCAUUGGAAUUUAAUUAGUUUAAUUAAUUAAAAAUCGUGAAAAUUUACUAAAAACGACAAAGAAAUUCAAAUUUUGCUUUGAAGAUUCAAAAGUUUUACGAAUUUUCAUGGAAAAUAGGUAAAAUUGAAAAAAAAAACUAAUUUUAAUUGUAAUUUUAUAGAAAAAUCUACGAAGUGGAUUAAAAACUCUAAAAAAAAUUGAUUUAAAUGUGAAAUUUCAGAAAUUUUGUUUAUUUUUGAUUUUUAUUGAAAAAAGCUGAAAAUCGAAAAAAAAAUUCAAAAAAUUGCGUAAAAAAUUAUAAAAAUAUAUUAAAUUCCUUGAAAAUCAGGAAAAAAGUCGAAAAAUUAAGUUAAGACUUACAAAGUUAGUGCAAGUUUAAAAAAUUCACUGAAGUUUGACAAAUUUUACAGAAAAUCGCGAAAAAAAUCGCUAAACAUUUGUUAAUGCAAUAAUUUUACUUAGUAAUUCCGAAAAAAAUCAUUAUUUUCAUGAAAAUUUGCCUAAAAUCUCAAUUUUUAAAGAAUUUCCUAAAAAUGUCAAAAAAAAAUCUGAAAAAUACUAUAAAAUUUAACAAAUUAAAAAACUAAAAUUCAGAAAACUUAAUUUUUAAAGGAAAAAUCAAAAACAUACAAAAAAUUCCAGAAACCGGAAAAUACGUGGCAAUCGAUUUGUCGGGAAAGAAUCUUCGAAUAAUGUUACUCACAAUGAACGGAGCCGGAACGACGCCCACGCAUGAAACAGUCAAUUAUAUAGUAGCUAAUCAUGUUAUGAAGGGAACCGGUGAUCAG
Molecule: small RNA, 1124 nt
Filed under: Caenorhabditis elegans
Lineage: Eukaryota; Metazoa; Nematoda; Chromadorea; Rhabditida; Rhabditidae
Description: Unclassified non-coding RNA Y77E11A.26
Source: RNAcentral